RNAcentral lists this ribosomal RNA (334 nucleotides) under uncultured bacterium. Its description in RNAcentral is "bacterial SSU rRNA". It matches the Rfam family "Bacterial small subunit ribosomal RNA", at positions 568 to 898 of the family's 1533-position model. The record is from RNAcentral.
CGUGUAGGCGGUUGGUCAAGUCGGGUGUGAAAGCCCGGGGCUCAGCCUCGGAAGUGCAUCCGAAACUAGCCAGCUAGAGCGCGAUAGGAGGAGGGUGGAAUUCCUGGUGUAGCGGUGAAAUGCGUAGAUAUCAGGAGGAACACCGGCGGCGAAGGCGGCCCUCUGGGUCGUUGCUGACGCUGAGACGCGAAAGCGUGGGGAGCAAACAGGAUUAGAUACCCUGGUAGUCCACGCUAUAAACGAUGGGUACUAGGUGUUCGGGGUGUUGACCCCCCUGAGUGCCGCAGCUAACGCAUUAAGUACCCCGCCUGGGGACUACGGCCGCAAGGUUAAA